Molecule: ribosomal RNA, 200 nt
Filed under: uncultured bacterium
Lineage: Bacteria
Description: partial 16S ribosomal RNA
Rfam family: Bacterial small subunit ribosomal RNA
Source: RNAcentral
GACGGAGGGGGCAAGCGUUGUUCGGAAUUAUUGGGCGUAAAGCGCGUGUAGGCGGCUUUGCAAGUCGGGUGUGAAAGCCCUCAGCUUAACUGAGGAAGUGCGCCCGAAACUGCAGAGCUUGAGUACCGGAGAGGGUGGCGGAAUUCCCCAAGUAGAGGUGAAAUUCGUAGAUAUGGGAGGAACACCAGGUGGCGAAGGCG